RNAcentral lists this ribosomal RNA (492 nucleotides) under uncultured bacterium. RNAcentral's name for it is "partial 16S ribosomal RNA". It matches the Rfam family "Bacterial small subunit ribosomal RNA", at positions 29 to 507 of the family's 1533-position model. The record is from RNAcentral.
AGUGAACGCUGGCGGUAGGCCUAACACAUGCAAGUCGAACGGCAGCACAGUAAGAGCUUGCUCUUACGGGUGGCGAGUGGCGGACGGGUGAGGAAUACAUCGGAAUCUACUUUUUCGUGGGGGAUAACGUAGGGAAACUUACGCUAAUACCGCAUACGACCUACGGGUGAAAGCAGGGGAUCUUCGGACCUUGCGCGAUUGAAUGAGCCGAUGUCGGAUUAGCUAGUUGGCGGGGUAAAGGCCCACCAAGGCGACGAUCCGUAGCUGGUCUGAGAGGAUGAUCAGCCACACUGGAACUGAGACACGGUCCAGACUCCUACGGGAGGCAGCAGUGGGGAAUAUUGGACAAUGGGCGCAAGCCUGAUCCAGCCAUACCGCGUGGGUGAAGAAGGCCUUCGGGUUGUAAAGCCCUUUUGUUGGGAAAGAAAAGCAGCAGGUUAAUACCCCGCUGUUAUGACGGUACCUAAAGAAUAAGCACCGGCUAACUUCGUG